GGGGCGAGGGGUGUGGAUUCUGUUCCAGUGCAGGGGGAAGCCACUGGAGGUUUUAAGCAUGAGAGUGACAUCAUCCGAUUUAUGCUUUUAAAAGAUCACGCUGGCAGCUGUGUUCCUCCCUCUCACCACUGAAUCCCCAGGGCCUAGCACUAGCCCUGGCCCAAAGGGAGUGUUCAAAAUAUGCCCUGAAUGAAUGCGUGCCCCGGACUUCCUGUGUGACCUGGAGAUACUCACUUCUGUCUCCGGACCUUAGUUUUCUCACCCGAAAGGCAGUCGGUGGGGAUUUCACGCCAGAGUGGGUGGGCCGGAGUGGAUUUAGGUUUCCCGCCUUCCCAUGAGGCCCCGAGACCCGAAUCCCCCACUUCAGGAGACGAACUGAGGUGGGGGGGGGGGGGGGGGGGGGGUGGAUCUUCCCUCCUGGCGACCUGAAGCAAUGCGCGGCGGCCCCGCCCCGGCCUGGACCGAGGUCUGAAGGAUGCUGCAGCCCCGGGGGCGGGACCCGCAGGCGAUCCCCGGCGCCUCCCGUGCGGAUUGGGUGCAGCGGUGACCGGCGCCGCGCUAUUGGUCGGUCCAGAAGCAGGGGCGGGGACCCGCUCCUGCAGCGCGGCGGCGGGGACACGGCCAGAGCCCGGGAAGCUGCUGCGGGGGUGAUGGCCGCGCCGAGCCCGGGGCCCCGCGAGGUCCUGGCCCCCUCCCCAGAGGCUGGAUGCAGACCAGCCACCUCGACCUCUGGCCGCCGUGGCCUCCUCUGGCGUCUACGAGACAAGCAGGCUCGCCUUGGCCUGUUUGAGAUCGGCCCGGGGCAUGAGCUGCACCAGCUGACAUGUAUGAUGCAGGCAGGGCUGUGGGCUGCCACUCAGGUCUCCAUGGACCACCCACCCACAGGACCACCCACCGAGGAGGAUUUCUCCGAGGUCCUGACCCAGGUUCAUGAGGGCUUCGAGCUGGGCACCCUGGCCGGCCCGGCCUUCGCCUGGCUACGCCACUCCCUAGGCCUGGCUGAGGGAGACUAUCAGGCGGCAUUAGGCCCAGGUGGCCCCUACCUGCAGUUCCUCAGCACCUCCAAGAGCAAGGCCAGCUUCUUCCUGUCCCACGAUCAACGCUUCUUCCUGAAGACCCAGCGCCGCCGGGAGGUGCGGGCGCUGCUCGCCCACCUGCCCCGCUACGUGCAGCACCUGCAGCGGCAUCCGCACUCGCUGCUUGCGCGGUUGCUGGGAGUGCACAGUCUGCGGGUGGCUCGGGGAAAGAAGAAAUUCUUCAUCAUCAUGCAGAGCGUCUUCUAUCCCGCCGGCCGCAUCUCUGAGAGGUAUGAUAUAAAGGGCUGUGAGGUGAGCCGAUGGGUGGAGCCAGCCCCUGAGGGUAGCCCUCUUGUCCUCGUGCUGAAGGACCUCAACUUUCAAGGCAAGACCAUCGACCUGGGGCCCCAGCGGAGCUGGCUCCUCCACCAGAUGGAACUGGACACCGCCUUCCUCCGGGAGCUCAACGUGCUGGAUUACAGCCUUCUGAUGGCCUUCCAGCACCUCCACGAGGAUGAGAGGGGCCCGGGCAGCAGCCUCAUCUUCCGCACAGCCAGGUCUGUGCGAGGGGUGCAGAGCCCGGAGGAGCCGGAAUCCCAGAACCGCCGGCUGCUGCCCGACUCCCCCAACGCCUUACACAUCCUGGACGGGCCGGAGCAACGCUAUUUCCUGGGUCUCGUGGAUCUCUCUACGGUCUACGGGCUCCGCAAGCGGCUGGAGCAUUUAUGGAAGACGCUGCGCUACCCAGGUCGGACCUUCUCCACCGUCAGCCCCGCUCGCUACGCCCGUCGCCUCUGCCAGUGGGUGGAGGCUCAUACCGAGUGACCCGCGCCCGUUGCUCUCUCGCAUCUGGACAAUGGGCACACGCCGGGAACCAGGGUUCCAGUCUGGCCCCGGCGGCGGGUCGGCCUCCCUUCACCUGCUGUUCCUCCCUUUGGCCUCCAGAGGGCAGCAUCCCCUAACUAAUACCAUGACAACACAGCCUCAUUUGGUGGUGAUGACUGGUUCGGCGUUGUGCCAGGGACUCCCCAACAUUAGCUCGAUUAAUCUUCAAAAAAAAAAAAUGCUAUUAUUCUCUUUUUACAGACCAUGAAUUGGAGGCUCAGGGGGUGAAGGUACUGAGCAAGAUCAUUCAGCAAUAAAUGCUGGAACCAGGACUCGACUAUGCCUUUUGGACUCAGGAGCCUGUAUUCUCACCCACCAGCUCCCUUAGCCCUGUCUUCAUGCUCUGGGGAAUGGUGUAGGCUGAAGGCUCCAGCCAAGCCCCUUUGUCGUCCAGAUGGGGAAACUGAGGCCCAGAGACUUUAAUGGGCUUACCCAUGGGACCCUCCAGCCUGGCCUCUGACCCUGGCCCAAUCCAACCAUGCCCAAGUGGGCUUCUCCUCUAGAGCUGCUCUGGGGCCUGGCUGUGUGACCAGGGCAAGGUGCUAGCCCUCUCUGUGCUUCAGUGGUCGAAUCUGUAAAAUGGAAAGGAUGAAAGUGGACUUUGUUAACUCAUUAAAUAUUUACUGAGCACCUA
This is an RNA transcript of Herpailurus yagouaroundi (jaguarundi), 2535 nucleotides long. It is a transcript of the gene named phosphatidylinositol-4-phosphate 5-kinase like 1, with no coding region annotated. The transcript is spliced from 11 exons. NCBI's taxonomy places the organism in Eukaryota, Metazoa, Chordata, Mammalia, Carnivora, Felidae. The record is from RefSeq and is a predicted model, not a curated record.